UAAAGGGUUUCCCUGGGAGCGGCGAGCGAAGCGGGAAGAGCUCAAAUUUAUAAUCUGGCACCUUCGGUGUCCGAGUUGUAAUCUCUAGAAAUGUUUUCCGCGUUGGACCGCACACAAGUCUGUUGGAAUACAGCGGCAUAGUGGUGAGACCCCCGUAUAUGGUGCGGACGCCCAGCGCUUUGUGAUACAUUUUCGAAGAGUCGAGUUGUUUGGGAAUGCAGCUCAAAUUGGGUGGUAAAUUCCAUCUAAAGCUAAAUAUUGGCGAGAGACCGAUAGCGAACAAGUACCGUGAGGGAAAGAUGAAAAGCACUUUGGAAAGAGAGUUAACAGUACGUGAAAUUGUUGGAAGGGAAACGCUUGAAGUCAGACUUGCUUGCCGAGCAAUCGGUUUGCAGGCCAGCAUCAGUUUUCCGGGAUGGAUAAUGGUAGAGAGAAGGUAGCAGUUUCGGCUGUGUUAUAGCUCUCUGCUGGAUACAUCUUGGGGGACUGAGGAACGCAGUGUGCCUUUGGCGGGGGUUUCGACCUCUUCACACUUAGGAUGCUGGUGGAAUGGCUUUAAACGACCCGUCUUGAACCACGGACCA
Molecule: ribosomal RNA, 584 nt
Filed under: Rhodotorula mucilaginosa
Lineage: Eukaryota; Fungi; Basidiomycota; Microbotryomycetes; Sporidiobolales; Sporidiobolaceae
Description: partial large subunit ribosomal RNA
Rfam family: Eukaryotic large subunit ribosomal RNA
Source: RNAcentral